CCAUCUAUUCAUCUAUUCACUCAUCCCUCCAUCCAUCUUUUUUUUUUUUUUUUUUACAUUUUGCCUCAACCGCCCCCGGAGCCCCGAGCUGGGGCCGGGGCUGCGCCAGGCGCCGGCGGCGGCCAUGGCGGGAGCGGCUGCGGGGCUGCGGGCGGCGGCGGCGGCGGUGGCGAAGGAGGAAGAAGAAGCGGCGGCGGUGGACGCCGAAGCGAAGCGGGGCGCCGCCCUCCAUCCAUCUUUGAACAAAUAUUUCUUGAGCACGUUCAACACUUGGUCACACUCAGUGCUUUUCCAGCCCAGCGGCUAGGCCUUGGACAAUGUGGGGAGGAUGACGGCCAGUUCCGCACCCCCGCCCCCGCCCGCCACCACCUGCUUGCCGUGGCUGGGAUUUCACUGGACUGGGGAGGAAUUCUUUCCGAGGAGUCCCUUCUGGAGGCCUCGUCCUUCCUCUGGAAGUGUAUGACUUUUAAGAAUGAAGAAAGAGUCUUUUCUAAGAGACAUGUGUAUCUAGCUGUGUGACCUGAGCGUGUUGUCAUCAUCUUUCUGGACCUGAGACCACACUUCUGCGAGGAGGCGACUGUCUAGAUCCUGGCGUAGACCCACCACGCCCUGAUGUCCUGACCACCUCUGCACAGUCAGAGAAACAGUGCCCGGUGUUGACCAAGAGUCCAUGGAACAAAAACGGCUGGAUCAGGUCUUCCUAGAGCAGGGCUGAUGGGGUGGGGAGCCUGGGGAGAUGAGCAGCAAAGGAAACAGCAGAAAGAGCACUUCAAACGUGUUGGCAAUGGUCUGAUCUGGCUGGGCAGAGUUUGAGCCUCCACUCUGCACUUGUCUGUGUGGCCUCAGCGUAGGGCUGCUCUCUCUGAUCCUGACCUCAGGCCGGGGGAGCUCAGAGGGUGGUCAGGAGGCUCAGAGCAGUGACCAGGGUGUGGGGUUCAGGAAUGGGUUCCUGUUUUAGCACACAAUAGUUUUCAUCAGCCACAUUCUGGUUUGUAGCAGCUUGGGUGACUUCCCUUAAUUCAGGCCUGGUUCUGGGUUCUGACCUUGGGGACAAGGCAGUGGAGGCAGGAGAGGAGGUCAGCCUGGUUCGUGGUCAGGGGCCAGGCAUGGGGACAACGGGCACGAACCUCAGUCCACAGAAAGACCCUUGACCGCACGACACUAUGAGAAACUACCUGUUUUUUUUUCUCUUGGCUCUGAAACCUGUGUGGAGUUUGAAAAACAUAGAAACUUCGUCUAGCUGAAAUAUAGAGUUUCCUUUAGCCAGUCUUUGAGAACAGGUCUGCUAGUUAGAAACUGUUAAUAUCUCAGUUUUCCUUUGGCUAAGAAUUUUGUAU
RNAcentral lists this long non-coding RNA (1337 nucleotides) under Bos indicus x Bos taurus (hybrid cattle). RNAcentral's name for it is "lncRNA (ENSBIXG00005025229.1)". The record is from RNAcentral. Lineage: Eukaryota; Metazoa; Chordata; Mammalia; Artiodactyla; Bovidae.